CUUCCAUUGUUUUUACCACUGCAUUUAAAUGUGGAGCUUUACUGUGAUGUUCCAUUUGUUUUUUAAUUGGCUUUAUUAUCUGUUGUGUAGGACUUAAUCAAUUCUAUUGGAUGCUAUCUGCAGGUGCCUACGGUGACAAAAUUUAUCACAUAUGCUCUGACGGAGCCUGUGGCUGAUGAAGUGGUCUUGUUACUGAACUGAUGAUAGCUGAUCACCGUUACCUUGCAUGUGUUCUGUCAGUGUCCUAGUAAUAUAACUAAAUACCCAGCAGAUGUGCAUUUGCACCUUAAGGUGAAUAAGGAUACAGAGCCGGAAAGAGCCCAUGAAUUGGAGAGUUCAGUUCAGCUGCCUUUGCAUGGUAGUUUACAUCUGCCAAAGCCACCAUGGGACCUGAGCUAACACAUGGAUGGCAUGAAAAGAUAUUGGGCUGCUAUACCUGGAGGCAGGAGCAAGAACUGGGAUUCAGAAUUGACCAGGCAGGAAGCAAAACAGGAGGAGUCAUCUUUGAUGGAAGCAGAAAUCAAGAACUCAAUCCAUGGCAUAUAACUCCACCAUUUGUAGUUUCUUAGAGAGAAAGUACUUUGCUAUCUAUAUGUGAAGUUUUCAGAACAACAGCCUGUUACCCUAGCCAUACUUCUACUUGAAGCACCGGAAUUUCUUCUUCUGGCUGCAGCUGCAUUACACACCCACCUCAACAUGCCAGGAGGAGAAAAAAUUUCCAAUCAUUCUGCACCAGUGGAGUCUGGCAUGAACUGCUGAGAAAAAGGAGGAUAAAUGCCAUCAGAAAAAAAGGCAGAGAAUUUUAAAUAGUGCCACACCACAGAAGGUGCAUCCAGCAGUGUGGAGUAUGGGAAGAGAUAGAUGACGUUACUGGGAACUUUGGAUUCAGGCAGCAAACUUCAUUACCUACACUACGACUGGGGUCAGCGUGAGGUUCUGAUCUGGGAGAAAAUAUUGCUGUGUACAGCUGUUUGUCACUGCUCUGUCUCUGCCCUGGAAAGCAGAAUGCCAGGCUUCUGAAAUGGACAGUUUCAUCACAUCUCCUAAAUAGUAACAUAUCCAAAGUGAUGAGCUUUUUCGAAGGCUUCCUACAGAAGAAUCCACUUUGCCUUGUUCAUUCUUUUUGGUGUAAAUAUGAUGCUUUCCUCACUGCCAAAAAGCAUGAAUAACAGCUGGAAAUGCUGGGACCAAAGAACAGAUAACUUUGAGGAAGCAUAAAAUGUUUUAAUUCUUCUGGUUGAGAUAUAAAAAAAAAGAUUCCCUAGGUGGGUAUUUUUCCUUGUUAACUCGUUUAUAAGAUAACUGAAGCUACAGGUGUUCAGCUUUAAUAAGGCAUUAGUGAACAAUUAUAUAAGACACUAAAAAUAAAGCUGGAGUCUUUGCAUGAAUGAAAUGAACAGUGAGUGAAAAAAUACUUAACAGCCAAGUUUCACAAUCAAAGAAGAGAUAAGAUUUUUAGGAAGUAGAUUGUUAAAUAAAACCUUUAAUACAUAUAUAAAGGACGUUGAAAGAAGGAAGGACUAUGUAUUUUUAUGUGCAAGAUAUGAAAAGACACCAGUAAUAUAUAAAAGAAUAACUGGUACUAACACUACUGAUAAAAUCAUUUUGUGCUUGGAUGAAAAUGUUCUUUAAAAUAUUGCUCUAAAAUAGUGCAGAGCCAGCUUUCUGCUAACAGAGAAUGUUGUAUUCUCUUGAUUUAUGAAAUCUCAUUUCAAUUGCAAACCACUGGCUCUUCUGUGUUUGUGCCUGAGCACUGUAUAAUUCUGCAGACAGCUCAACCAGCAGCAUUGCUAAGAGAAAGAGGAAAUUAGAUGUAUUAAAUAUGAAGAACCAGUGACAUUCAAAUAACAGUUUUGCUCUUGUAUUUCUCAUUUGUUAGAAGGCAGUUCCUAAUAAAAAUUCUAACAUGACUUAGCCUUGGAAACAAUGAUCUGUUUUAUUAACCUCAACAGAACAAAUUUAGGACAGAGUUUCUGACACUUUCGUAAUUAUAAGAAGAUAUGUGAUAAAGUGCUUGGCUCCCAUUUGUCUUCAUCUCAAUUUACCUUUUUGCUCUUCAUAGUUCUAUCAGACUCCCUCUCAACUUCAGGUUUAAUAAGACAUGGUAAAUUGGAUCAACGUUCAUCUCUUAUGAAAUGCCUUUUAGAAUUUGUUUUGUAGUUAUAUGAAGUUAAGACACAGGAAGGUGGGAUCUUUAGUGGUGUUUGGUGUCAUAGAAGUGCAAUCUUUCUACCUUUUCUGCAACUUGUACUUGUAAGCCACUAAAUGUUUGUAAAGUCAUCUGUAAAUAGCAUAUGUAAGAUCACAUAAGGUGCUAUACUUCAGUAAUUUAUUCAUAGGAAUGUAGUUAGGUAAAGAAGUGAGUUCAAAGUGGCUUACCGCUUAUCUAUGUGAUGCUCUCAGGCAAAGUUAAGGACUGUGUAACAGAGGCAUGAAUUGUACAAGAUGACUUCAAUAUAUGCACAUGGCUUUGAAAAUGCAAGAAUGAGUCAUUGUAAUGAGUCAGUGCACAUCAUUGUCCAGGGAUGUGAAUAUAGUCUGCAGCUGUGAAAAUACCUCUGCAGUGCUGCUCACAAUAGGGCUUUCUGAUAAUUAAAGAAUUGAAGGCAUUGCAGUUUAAGUUGAUUGAAAAAUCACGGCAUUUUCUACAUUUCUUAGCCAUUUCCUACCAAUAUAGAAGAAAAAAAAUGGUUGAUCUUACCUUUGUAAUCUAUGGGAACUACUGGUAUUGGACUUAAUAUCUGUCUAUUCCUACAAUGGAUGCAAGGCAUUGUCCAAAAGUUACAGUUAUUAAUUGCGAUAAAUGGUAGUAAAUUUUGACGUUUUACUUCUGUUUAAGCUAGCCUUGCCAUGUGUUUCGAUGCAGGCUUAUAUUUAUAUCUCUCUACCUGUAUUAAUGUACAUGUAAGCAGACAUACUAUGUACGUGUGUGUACACGCACACAGACAGAAGUUUCUCUUCCUGAUUUUGCAGGAGGUGCAUCUACCUCUUUUUAAUACCAGAGACUGUACUGUAAUAAAGCCUUUUUUCUUAAAAAAAAAAAAAAAAAAUCAAGACUGGAAUUGGGCCAUUGUUUUUUAUGUAAGUAUCUUCUUUCAGAGACAGUCAAAAUUACGAAUAUUUGGUGCCUGUACUUGUCUUCUUUUGAGCAGGUAGGAAUAACGUUGUUUUCCUUAAAAGCUGGUUGGGUUUUUUGUUCUUCCUGGGUAAUUUCUUAACUUAGCAAGCUAAAGUUUCAGAAUUGAAACAGGAAAUAUGACUUUAAGCUAUUCACUGAAAUUCUCUGAAUUAAUGCUAUUUGCAGAUAUGCAGUUUCAUUACAUAAACAGAUAUUUAUAUAUAUAUAUAUAUAUAUAAUUUCUUUUUCCUAUACCAUCCUGUAAGCUUAUUAAAAUCUUGGAUAUUUUCUAGGGUUAUUAAUGUCUUGGUAUUACUACCUGUAAGUCAUAGCCACACUGAGAAAAUUCAAGCAGUUUGAAAUAAGUGUGAGAACCUGGAGGUAGUGUUAGGUACGCGGGUAUUUUUAAAAUAUAAGUGUAGUUUUGAUGAACAUCUAGAAUAAUUACAUUAUACAGGGAAGAGAAAAGCAAUGUUGAUGGUCAAUUUGUUGUAAUCUGCUCCCCUUCUGGAAAACCCAGAAUUCUGUGGAAUUCAGUUUUAUAUUGCGUGGGUUUUAUUUGUUCCUUCAUUAAUGUAAAAUCUCAACUGUCUCUGCAUGGGAGAAGGUGUUUAAAUCCACAAUCUUCAUUGAGAAAUUGAAAUUGGAGUUGUGUUUGGCCAAUUUAUACUUAAAUGUAUCUUGCCAUGGGGUGUUAUUGCUCUAAUAUGUAUUCCUUUUUGGUUUUCCUUUCAGUUUUUCAUCAGGUUUGUAUCUAUUAAAUUAUUUAUAUUAUAAGAUUUGUAUUAAAUACAUGCAAUUUGUGGUGUGACUAUAGUAACUAUUCUGACAGAUCUUUAUAUUUUGGAAUUCCCUACUUCUGUAUCUGUGCUUAUUGCAAUUAGACCUUUCUGCAGCUAAUGAAACAUAUGUGAUUUGUUUGUUUAUGCCCGAGGACUGAAUUUGUUGCUGAAUAAUGCAAAAACAUAUGCAAGGAGAAGUGUAGUAAAUGGAAUUAGGAAUGUGUGCAUAGAGGAUAUGUGAGCAAAGUCAAUUGAAAGAGAUGUUAAAGCUUUGGCUCUGGCUCUACUUGCUCAGUGAAGGUGGAAACAGGUUUAUGUUAAUACUUGUGUGUCUGUGCCAGAGUGGCAAGUCACCAGCGGCUGCACAAGAAUGGCUGGUGUUUCACAAAAAAUUAGUAACUCAUACAGAUUUUUACCUUAAAGAGAAUUAAAAGAAGCAAUCUGAAUGACUCAGAUGCCAAUGAGCUAUUUGGCAAGAUACAAACAUUUGCUUUCCUGUGUCCUGGUUUGGCUGGGAUAGAGUUGUUGUUUUCUUUUUUCUAGUAGCUGCUGUAGUGCUGUGUUUUGGAUUUAGUAGAAGAUGAAUGUUGAUAAUACACUGAUAUUUUGAUUGUUGCUGGAUAGUCAAGAACUUUUCAGAUUCUCAUGCUCUGUUGGGUGCACAAGAACCUGGGAGGGAGCAAAGCCAGGACAAACAUGAGGGUUUUUUUACCUUUAAAUUCUCUCCCCCCUCCCAUUGGGUGGGGAGUGAACGAGUGAGUGGCUGUGUGGUCCUGGUGGUUGGCUGGGGUUAAAUGAUACCAUUCUGCCCUGUGCUCUGCUGGCAGAUCCUGAGCAGAUUAGUCUCUUUAUACAGGUAUCUAGAAGAGAAAGCAAAUGAACAUCCACAUUUCACUUUCAUGUGUUUUGAUAUCUGAAACAGGCCAACAGCAUAAACAUUUUGCUAAGACCUGUUCUGUGAAAUUUCAAGGAAGCUUCUAGUUUACGAAAAAGUGAAUAUAUUUCUACCCAGGAUCAACAAUUUGAAUUUCUUUCCCUGACACAUUUAAUCAUUACUAGUCCACAUGUAAUAGUAGUAAUCUUAUUUUUUAAAACCUGGUAUUUUUCAAGCAGUACAGAUAAGAUGAGGGGAAAUCCAGUUUGUUUAAUUAAAAGGUAUCAAAAUGCUGCUAACUUAUGUUAGUGGAUUAGAUUUUCUCCCAGAAAUAACUUCAGUGGAAUUGCAUAAUGAAUGAAUGUGGUCCAGUUCAUUUUAUAAUUAUAUUUUGAAGAGCAUGGAAGUAGGGAAGAAUAGAGCCUUAUAUCAAUCUGGUUUAAAAAAACUCUGCCUUUGAUGUUUCUUUGAUUGAAAAACUACUCUGAUUUUUAUAGCAGCAUAGUAGGUGCCGAAGUUGCAUUUCCUUCAUCCACAACACCUGCUUUUCUCUGGCAUCUGUAGUGAUGUGCGCUGUCGAUACCAUUUUGCUCAUAAACUUUGACAGAUUUAGUAUAUAAUCUCUGCCCCCACAGACGGUCUUCAACUCUGCUGUCCACAUGGUGGAAUUAAUACCACACAGCUCGAAAAUUUGCCUUGAGCAUGUCCUUGUAAUAUUUGACUGGCCUCUCUCUCAGUCAUUCUCUGUGUUUUAAAUGGCCAUAUAGAGAUAGCUCGGAGCAGUAUUUAUCUGACGUAUGCAUUGAAUGCCCACACCAGCACAACUAAGCUCGAAGAAUCACUGGUCCAAUGCUUAGUAUUUUACUGUGAAUUUAAUUUUACAUUGGCUAUAGUAUCAGCCAAGUAUCCUCCAUGGAUAUUGUAUUGUUUGGCUAAUGAACUAGCAGAAAUUAAUUGAAAGUCUUUGUAUUUGGUUAUGGAUACAGAGUGAUUUUUCUUACAAUAAGGAAUUCAGCUGAGUUCUGGAGUACAAUGUAGCUCUUGUUCAUUUAGAAAGGCGCUCUCCUAAACUACUCUUAAGUCUUUAUUCCUUUAUAUAGCACCUUGUUAUAUAUUUACGCACAAAAAAAUCAAUGCUUCUGGUUUUCCAAAUGCAAACCUAUCUUCUGUAUUUGAUGAAACUCAUGCAUAUUCUUUCUGAAAACAACCUAAUUAAAAAAAAAGAGAACCCUCCCACAAGAAACUUACAAGAGAUUAUUAAUCGUAUUAUUAGUAUCAAUACAUAAUACUAGUGAUCAUAGGGUCUGAUGGAGGGAUUGUUUCCAUAAGAAAGUGUGAAGAAAAACAGUGCACAUCAGAUACUGUGUAUUUAUAAGCAAGGACUUUGAGAUACAAAUGUUGUCUGUAAAGGAAAGGUCAGUGGCUUUUUAACUCCAAUUUUCAGAGAGGACUAGAAGUCCUGACGUGCACAGUUCAGGUAUUUUGCAUCAUAAUUCAGUAUGUAAGUUCUUAUGAAGGAGGAAGGAUACCUCCUUGCAGUCUCUUUUCACCAUACUUGGAAAACACAGUAUUAUGUAGGUACAAAAAGCAUUCCUUAUCGCUAGUAAAUCUUGCUCAAUAGAUUAAUUGUGUGCUUGUUUUUGCUAACAAUAGAAGUAAUAUGCACUAGAUGGAGAAUAUGGAAAAAAAAAAUUAUGAGCUCCAGGUGUCACACAGACAACAUAAAGGGUGGCCCAACCCACUGAUACCUGCUACUUAUCUAUUACCUUGUUUUAAUAACAACUGUGUAUUUUUCUUCCCAUAUAAGUGACCUGGAGGGGAAACUCUUUUCCUAAUGGGUAGCAGAUUAGAAACUGAAUAAUGAUUCCAAUUGAAUUGCUUUGAGAAACUUGCUUUCUAACUUGUGAAACUGAUAUUUCUUCUAUAUAAUCUUUGUUUUAGUCAUCUCACCUUAAACAAACAGAAGCAGCAUGUGAAAAUAUUCAUUACUUUCAGGCAGCUUUCUAUUGGUACAAUGUUUGUAGAAUGAAAUAAGCUUAACUAUGACGGAUACUUUUUUGUAUUAUGAUAAACUUCUCUGCAUUAGUGAAUUUAGUGUAUACUUAGAAAAAUGCCUAUUCUAGAUAUACAGCUAUUUCAUUGAUAAGAAAAAAUACUUGUUUAAUAGAUUCUGUGGUUUUGUGCCAUUAGCGUCUUGUACUGGUGAGUACCUUCAUGCGAAGAAUUUGUCUUCCUUCCUGCUUUUUUUUCCCUAUUGUUUUCUCUGAGGGAAAAAGUAGAAAACAAUAAAAAAUAAAAGGCUGGGGAUUUUUCUGAAGGAAAUCCACAGAUAUACAUUUCACAGUAAGCCAGGGUAGCCAGUUUAUUUUAUUAUUUGCAUAUGAGAUCACACUGGUGAGUGUGUAUAUAUUUAUGCAUGUAUGUAUGUUUGUAUUUUAACAAGGAUUAUAAAUACAAUGCAGUGGUUAGUGCCCCAGUGCUUAGGAAGGGAGUUACUGAGAGCAGGUAUCCCCUAAGCCACAUAGUUGUGUCUGCACUUGUUUAGCCAGUUAAGCCCAAGUAUCUGAGACAUUCUCAAAAGAAAAGUGUUUACAGUUUGGUUUUGUAACUGGGAUUAUUUCAUGCUUUGUUAGUUUAGGGGGCAAGCAUGCCUCUGAUCACAUGCCUUGUCUGCCUUUCUGGCUGAUUUCCCAUCUCUGUGAGUCGCCGGAGGCUAUUCUACCUCAGGUGAACGUCAGAUGUUGAGGUUGCCUUUGAAUUUCAGCAUUACCAUGCUUCAGAUCACAGAGUCCUCAUCUACUGUGACAUGGAAAGAAGUUACUUUCUAAUCUGAAUUAAGACAGCUUGUGUAUGCUUUGAGCUUUAAUUAUUUCAGUCAUAUUGAAGUCAUUAAGAAGAUGUAGCCUAAAGUUUUAUACGCAUAUGCAGGCAAAUGUUUGCAGAAUCAGAUUCUAAUUUCACAAAUGAGUUUUGUGGUGUGGUUUAAGAGACAGGCAGAGAGACAGAGUUUUAUAGAUUGAGGGGAAGGUAGAAAAAGGAACAGGUUUCUGAGAAAAGGAAAGAUUAAUAGAAACCAUAUGUAGGACUCCAAGUGAUUCAGCGGGGUCUAGACAGUUGCCCUUUCUUUCUGUUCUAAUGUCUUGUGCAACAAUGACAGAAACCAUAUGUGAACAGCAAAUAAACUCAUCCUAACUCAUGUCUUCUCUGUUUAAAGUUUAAUCAGUCUAUUUUAGGUGAAAGGAGAUGAGUGUUCAAGAGUGAAAACAUCACAAAAACAGUAUAUCAGCAUUUUAUACCAUGAGAUACAUUAUGAAACUCAAAUCAUAUUGUGUGUAUUAAUUCCUUAAUGAAACAGAGUGAAAACAGUAACUGCAAAAUUUCUAGCUAUCUUGUGAUGGGUGCAUCUCACUAUUAAUUAUUCCAUAUCCUAACCUUUCCCUGUGUUCUGAUUUUCUUUACUUUGUACAUUCCCUGUUUUUUUGACCUGAUAUAUUUCCUCAUCUUUGUUUCUUUUUGUCAUCUUCCUGUCUGUUUUUUUCAGCAUGCGUUCUCCUAUUUGCUUUUGUGAUUGCAUCUUCAUCAACUGAGGUGAGAGAUGUUUUCUGGUAGACCGGAGUGGUAAUAUAAUGUAAUUAUAUUUCAUACUUCAAUAUUUCCAGAUUAUUGCAAUUAUGUUAGCUAGUUAACACCAUUUUUAACAGUAGUAAGGAAAAGUAAGAGGUAAGUAAGGUGGAGAAUGUUGUUCUUACUAGUACCAUAAAAUUUUAGGUGCAUGAAAUGGAAAUUAUACUAUGUGGGGGAUAGGGGGGCGUGAAAUUACUGUGGCCUUUUUCUGGAAAAACUACAUUACAAAAUGUUGAAUGCUAUCAGGAGAAACUGUCUCCUUAAUUAGCAUCAAGUUUUGUAUAUCUUGCCAGGACUAACAUUUUGUCAGUUGGUAAAUAAAUAUUUGACUCAAAUGUAAUCAGUGACUUCAGCAUUUACACAUUGUAUAGCUGUCAUAAUAUUGGAAAAUUAGAUUUUUUUUCAUAGGCCACUGCAAGCCUUAAUGUUCAAUCUGUCACAAAGCUUAGGUAGGUCCUGACAUGCUUUUAAAGAUUUAUAAUGUAACAGUACAUUUAGUAAUGGUAAUAAACUGACUUAAUAUUAUAUUUCACUGCAAUGUGCAUUUCCAAGGAGUUAUAAGUUAUUCAGUAACUAUGUAAAGAAAACACACAGAUAACAAGACAUGAGAUCUCUGAAUGGGUCUCACUUUUAAAUCAAAUUAUGUGCUAUAUUAAGAAAUGGCAGUAUUAACUGAAGCAGAGCAGAAUAAUUCUGUCAAGGCAAACGCUUUAAGAGCUGAAGUAUUUUCCUUUGUAUCGUCACGAUUUUUGUGUAUUGGUCUAAACAGCUAGAAGACUUUCUGUUCAGUGGGUUUGUACACAUUCAGUUUUCUUAGGAUUUAUAAUUGAUCCAGCUUUGCACUGCCAAGUAUGUGGAAGUUCAAUUAAUUGCAAACAAAUAUAAAAAUACUUUCAUAAUAAAAUAACUUUCUCAGUUUUAUUACUGGGAUUUGGAGCUUGACUCUAAAGACACACCACAAGACAGAACACUGAACCUUUGCACUGGCUUAAGAAUCCCUUGUCCUGCCUUUGUGCUGUAUCUGUGCUCACACUGUGGUGUGAUAUUCCCUCCUUUGGGCUGGAACAAUCUCUGCAGAAUCGUGUUCUAAACUGCAUUGGGGAUUUGCUGUGUUGCAUUUAGAACCUGAUCUGGGUGACAACAAGGCCUUACAGUGUAAAGCAAAAAGAAUGCAAUCCAUGAAGAAGGACAAAAAUAGCAAAUUGUUAAAUCAGAGUUGUCACUAACCGUGUCUGUUGGGGAUCCGCUUCCUUACCCAACAGCAGAAGAAUCCUGCUACAGCCCGAGGUGGACUUUCACACUUCUGCAAUAUUGUAUAUGUCAUGUUAGGUGUCUGUAGUUCCAGAAAGCAUCAGUAGUUUUCAUAACAACCACUUCCAAUUUUUGGGAAAUAAUGGUUUGUAUUUAUUGCAAGGCUGUGUUUCAAUAACUGAGCUUACUAAUUGAUUAUAGAUUUCAAAACACUUAUUCAAGGGAACAGUACUGCUGAAAUAAAUUUUGUUACCAACUAAGUAAUUCUGUCAAUUCAGAACAAAGAAUAAAGUCCAAGAAACUACAGAAGAUUAUUCUCCCUUAACACUCUGAAACGUUUUUUAUUAUAAUAAGAUAAACUUUUUUUCCCCAAAGCCAAAGUCCCUCAUUUCUAUGGACUGUUUGUCUGUACUGCCUAUAUUCUCCUUUCUCCUGAUAAAAAUUUCCAGAAAGUUAUGCAUAUUCUUAUUAAAUGUGUGAUCAGACCCUAAUAUUUAUUUCAGGUAAUGGAAAAAGUAGCUGGAAAUUGGAUUUCUGUAUUUUGCAAAACACACAGAAAAUAAAUUAUCCUCUAACUUAUUCUAAUCUUUGAGCACUAACCUUUAUAUUAUUUACAGUUCAGGAAUGUUCUAAAAAAUCUCAUUUAAUGAAUGAAAUUAUUUUUGAGAGGUUUAUUGUCAGUUGCCUUGCUGCUUGCUUGGGCAGCUCAUGUCAGCUCCACUUUCUGUCUAUAAAGGCUUCAAAACUAGAACUUUGAUUUUCUCAAAGGACUUCAGAUGUCUUUGGGAAAAGUCUACAUUUUCUGUUGAAAAUAAUAAUCAGGUAAGUUCUAUUAAAAAAACCCUUUGAACAUAUUUGACUCUGCCUGUUUCCCCAGGACAGUAUAUGAUAGAAAUUGUGAAAAGGAGUCUUUAAAUAUCUGAUAACUGAUGCUACUGAGAAGCCUAGUAAGCUGUCAGUCCAAGAAUAGUUCAGGGCCCUACAAUUAACUUUAAAGUAAAAUUCAAUUAUGUUGAUAUCUGUACCAUUUUUUUGUUGAUUAAAAAAACAUCAACUAUAAACUCUGUUUUGGAAUAAGUAAUAUUUCACUUAUUUUCUUCAAAGAGUUGAAGAUUACUAAUUUUAAGCAAGUCAAUAUUUUUGGCAGUGUUAAUAUUAUAUAAACCAAUAGAGUAAGCUAGACUGUUCUAACCAAGAAUGGGUAACUAGGGCCUUUGAAAAAAUCUCAUAUGCAGUGAGAUGAGAAGACUGGGACUGUUUAUGUUACAGAAAGAAUACAUAAGAGGGGUCACAAUAAAAUAAAUACAAGUAAGUAAUUGUGUGCCUAGGUAGGUGAGUUUAUUUGUUCAGGGCUCACUCAUUCUAACAAAAUAAAGCGUCAAAUCAAUUUGAAGUAUAUGAAUCAAAGUAAUUUCUUUACAUUCCAAAAUAAUGUGUUGAAUUCAGUCUACUCAAAAUAAAACAGAGUCUGUUUCUCAAGAUUCAAGAAAGGGAAUGGACACAGGGUAAUUAUAACAUCUGAAUUUCUAAUCUCACAUAAUAUCCAGUACUUCCACAGUACAAUUAAUCCUGUUACAGAAAAUAUCUUACAGGAAUGUAUUUUAUCACUGCUUAAGCAAAGAAAAACUGAGACAAAGAGAAGUAUAGAGACUUCUCUUCACCAGUUCUGUUUUUACCUGACUUGAUAUUAACCCCAGGCCCUGAGAUCUAAUCUGGUAUUUUCUCCAUUGAUUUUGGAGAUAUAUGAACACUGUGCUUCAAAAAACAACAUCUCACCAGUGUUGUCUGGAAGGAACAUGUAAAUGGAGCAGUUCAACUUGGAACAAUCUGAGCUUUUCUUGGAGAUAUCUGCUGUUGCGUGGUGUCACAGAAGUAAAAUGUAUUAUAGAGGCCCACUGCAGUGUUUGUGCAUGGUAGUCUUGUGCUACUGAGCUUAGGAAAAAAAACAAUACAGAAAAAACCCUCCUUGUUACUACUCCAAAUAACAGUAAUAUGUCCAGUUCCAAAUGUUCUUUCAAGGUCUGGUAUCUUUAAAAGUAACAUAUGCCAGCUGGUCUAAAAGUAGGCACUUUGUACCUCACUGAUGCUUUGUCUUUUUUUUUCUAUCUGUUAGGAAAUUCUUUGUUUUCUUUUUCAGCUUCUGUCCCCUUCUUUAAGUAAUAUUUUAAUUUAAUUUUGCAGUAUAAUAGCUUCCAAAAAUUGAGACAUUUUCUUCAGAUUGGUAGUUCAGUUGUUUAAUUUUCCUAUGCUACUGUGUUUAUGCAAGUUCAGUAAUAGGGAUUGAAAUUGUGUAAGAUGGAGUUAGAGACAAGAAAAGCAGAGUGCUGAGCAGCCAAGAAAGUCAGCUGAGAAUAAGGCAUAAUAAACUAGGAAAAAUUAGAGUGAGGAAAAAGGAAAUAAAAAGGGAAUUAGAAGAGUUUGUUGUGAUGGAAGACAAAAGUGGAGAAGACAGAGAAGCAAACAACAAGCAAUCAAAAACAUUGGCAUUGGUAAAGAAAGCAUUUAACAUUCUUUGUCCAGCAAAUGUUUGCUGGUGUAUUAAGUAGUCCAGAUGACAUAAUGUGUGACAAAUCUGGCCUCCUCAAACAUCCCAUAGCCAUAGAAAGGGAUAAAGUAGUCCAGAUCAAUGCUGGUAGAUUGAUACCGUAUUUUCCUGCCAGAGUUAAUCACAGGCUCUCUUUUUAUUCACUUUUCUCCCUUCCGUGUUAACAAUGGCUAGCAAAAAUGUUUUAUACUUACCUUGUUUUUAGAAGGGAGCAAAAACCCUCUUUAUUUUACGCUUUCUUUUGCUGAUCACACAGAGCAUAUCUUAGUGUGGCAAUAUUCUCUUCCUCUGAAUGGUUACUGUGAACAAUUAUACACCUAAUCAUUAAUUGUUCUCUUUAAAUUGCACUUUAAUUAGCAGGUUUCACCGAUAGUUUUAGGUUUCCUCGAUUUGUUCCUUGAUAUCAGUAGUGACUGAGUCCUAAAUGUCAUCUGUAACUAGGGAACUCAAACACACCACUCAAACUCCCACUCUGCUUCCCAAAUUGAGCUCUUGUUUUUCACUGUGCAUUUGUACAGUUGGUGACUUACCUUAUUUGUUAAUGCAGAAGGCUGACAGAGCUUAAGAUAGUCAUAAUAUUUCUCAAGAUGUUGCUGCAAUUCAAUGGAAACAAAUGCAGUGAUCUAUCAGGACACCAGACUACCAUGUUUUCAUAUGCCAGGAUGACUACUGGGUCAUCUCAGCUAUGCAUUUAUUUAUCAUUGCCUUCGACAUUCCCCUUUUAAAACAGAAAUUAAGAGUGAUUAAUGCAUUAAGUGCUGUAACUUGAAUAAAACUGCCUGUAAUACAGACAAGAUUGAGGAGAAACAAAAGGAAAUCAUUGUUUGGUGUCUGACAAGAGCAGACAGUGGAGCCUAAAUAUGCAAGACAAAUAGUUAAGCUGAGCUAGAAAGAUAAGCUUAAGCAAAUUCAAAAGAACCAAGCCCAUAGUUACAGUGUAAAGCACUGGAUGCAAAUUCAAGCAUUUUUAUAAAAUGAUGAAAUUAUAUCAUUGUGUCUGGAAAGCAGCCAGCAGUAUUCUGCACAUGUUGGAAAGGAGAAGAAGUAAUCCCUGACUAAGGAUUGCAAGAGUCUCUUUAUGAACAUUGAACCAUGUAGGGAAAAAAAAAUCGAAUUCAGAGCCAAGGCCAAGCUCUCCUGUACUUGGUUUUAUUCUAUAUGUAGUAAGAGAUAGAUAAAAAACCCCAAUAUUUUCAUCUAUGUUUGGAAGAUAUCCUGCUUGGAACAUUAAAAAGACACAAAAAAUUGAAAUGUAUGAGAAUGCCCUAUACACCUCUAUGAUCUAAAACCCCGGAGAGAUCUGUAUUAAUGUUUUUUCUUCUCAAAUACAGUGUUAAAAAUCAAGGAGACAAGUCUUGUGGUCUGACUGCUGCUUUAGCUACCUAAAUCCCAAAAUUGUAUACCUCUACUGCCAGCAGUAAAGUCCCCUUGAUCUCCGAAUUGUCAUUCUUAAAUCUUACCAAUGUCACAAGUUAGGUGACACUCUCAGACAUAAACCUUCUGUUCCUUUGUCCCUAAAACAGAAUAAAGUAGCAACAUAGCAAAUAUAAUGUAUAUUAAAAAAGAAUAAAGAACUAAAGAAAAGUAAUUUUGUCAUAAUUAAGGAAGACUGCAAAUUAAAACAUUUGGGAUAUGUCUAGCCAAGUUGAAGAUGAAUUUGUGCCUUAGAAUGUUGUAAACUAUGUGUCAUACAGUGGAGCACAGGAGGGAUAGUCACUUGUAUGUAUCUACAUUGUUUUUUGAACAUUUCUUUGAUGUAUAAACUAGCAGGUUGGUUGUUUUGUGGUUUGUGGUGUUUUGUUUGUUUUUUUUUUUUUUUUUUUUAGCAGUCUCUGGUCUGCAGCAGCAAAGUAUUUUAUAAAAGAAAGAAAAAUGUAAACUUUCUGUUCAAUUUUCAUUCAGAGUUCUGAUGCUGGGAGGUGCAGGUUACUGAAUACAGCAGUUAUUUCAACAUGUUUAGCAUUUUGUCCUUGAGCAAUGGUUAGCAUGUAAUGCUAGCUUAUUUACUGUAUUUUUCAUUUACAGUGCUUAACUUUUUCUUCCCCCAUGAUACCACUUAAGUGGCAUUAAUUUGAAGUUAAUCAGACUACUAGUGAAGACUUCAUAUUGGCAUGUAACAUACCCGUGACAGGAGGAAAAUUUGAUUUACAUUUCUACUGCUACCUGUAAUGAGAUAGGAAAAUUCGGUUUGUAUUUCAGCUUGAAGCUGGUUGGGACAUAGUGACACUGAAGACCAAUUACUGUUGGAGUUCUUGUUGCGAUGUUUAGUUUCUUAGCCUCCGAGAGAGUGAAAAGAAAGAAAAAAAAGUAAUAAUUAGUUUUAUAACUGUCAUAGUGCAUUUGUUAGCUUGAUCAGUCAGAAACAAGAAAACAAAUUAAGUAGGAAGAGAUCCUAAAUUAGGGAGAAGGCACUAUUAACAUAAAUGUGGACAUGCAGCAUCAUCUUCUGUGUUUCCUUUUCUAGGCAGUUAGUGGUACUACAUUAAACCAGUUUGUUUCUGCAACAGAAAUGCUAAAUAAUAACAGAACAAAAAACUUCUAUUUAACCAGUCCUCACAUGCUAUAAAUGCACAGACAUUUCAACUGUUGUAAUUUGCUGGCAAGCAAACAUAUAUUACAGCUUGGAAGAUUUCUUUGUUCUAGUAUUUUCAAGCACAUUUAUCAGGCAUCUUUAAGCAACCUAUUAUAACAUGCCUGUGAUCUACUGAUGAAAUUAUACUAAUUGUCCUUUUUGACAGAUGAUCUGUCAACCUCAUACAUUAUAUUCAGUUCUGAAAUGAAUUUGUCUUGCUAUGGCCAGGACUAGACUGGCCGUAGUUUAACUGGAAGUCUUAAUAGCUGAACUUCCUGCAUGCAACAUUAUAAUCACUCUAGCAUUUGUCUUUCUCUGACAUAAUAUUUCUAGAAAUGAAUAAUAUUUUGUAUUAUAUCUGUAUCUCUUUUCAUGUCUGUCAAGGAAAAUAUCUGCAUUUCUUUCUUCUGAAACCCACACUGUUUUUUUCUAAUUUAUUUCAUUUACAGCGCUGCAUUACUUGGAGAUUUUUGCUGUUACCAACAGGUCUUUUGUAAAUCCAAAAUAAAUAUUUCUUUUUUCUUUUGGAAGUUGUGGUUUACAUGUUUGUUUUCAAAGAUUAAUAAAGCAGAAAACUUAGCAAGAAUGUUUGUAGCAAAAGCACUAGAACUUGUUAAUGACUGGGGAAGGAUAUAGUUGCAGAGAUGGAGUACUGCUUCACCACGGGAAGAUCAUUUACUUAAUCCUGUGCUCCUGGUCUGAUUUAGUGACUGAAGAUUGAGUUUUGAACAGGCGUAUGGAGCCAAAGGCAAAGUGUGACCAAACAUCAAACUGCAGAGGUGUAGUCAGAGAUAUUUGUGACCUUUCCUGCAGGCAGCUUUUCUUCUCCUGAACUCAAUAACAUGGACUCAGGGUCUUUCUGCUGACUCUGUAUAAUUAGUCUUUGUUCUGAGAGAGCAGAAUCUAUUUCACAGCUUCUCUCUUCAAGCCUCAGCGAAAAUGAUUUCUUUUUUUUCCUGUUGCUGUUGGUUUUUUCAGUGGUGGUGGUGUGUUUUUGUUGUUUUCUUCUGGGGGUUGGUUGGUUUUGUUGUUGUUGUUUGCUUUUGGUUUUUUACCUAUUGUUAUAACAUAAGGGGAAAGCUAGAUGUUGAGAUGUUGCCUGUGAUGCAGGUUUUCUUGUGUGGGCCAGAGUAACACCAUCCUAGCUCUAAGAAAAUCAGCAUCAAGAUAUUCCAGAGCUUCUCUGAAUGUCGUUCUCUCUCACGUUUGAUCCCCUGUUCAGCCCUGGCACUUACUGAGCUUUUAACUGACAAACAGUUUCAUGUGAGUAAAAUCCAAUCUUGUAUUCAUUCACUGUACAGCUCAAAGUGCAAGCGGUCAUCUCAGCCCAUCAGUUGGUUUUGCCCUCUCCCUCUUGUCAGCAGUGCCGUCUGUCAGCGGGUCACCUCCUGGUCCCCAAGGAGCAAAGUGCCCUCUGUUAGCUCUGCUGGCCUGUCAGUUUAGUCACUGGACUCUUUGUAGACUUUCAUUGAAAGAACAGUACCUGAAUAUUUCCCCUUUAUCUGCAAUUUCCAGUCUGUAUCAAACAUGAAAUCUUGACAGAUGGAGUCCAAUCUGCCACAUGCUUAGCUGACAGGAGCGAGGAAUAACUGACUCUCCAAAUGACUCUGAGUGAUGCUGUGUGAGAUUACCAGUGUGGGAAGUGAAGGAUUUGACCAGAGGGUUGCUGAGAAGGAAAAAAAGGCAAAACCAAGAUUUUUCUAGCAGAAUUUUGUCUGUGUGAGUGCAUGUCUCUCCUGAGCAGCCUGAGGCCAUGAGAUGGAAAUGGGCCACUGCGUCAUCCACUGAGCAAGAACGAGCUGUAUUCUGGCAGAAUUACCUACCAGAAAGGAAAAAUCUGCUGGCAUGAGGAGUUGAAGAAAUGGAAAUACAUGAAGCCAUGAAUUUUCUAAUAAUUUUCAACAACUUGUUUAGUUUGGCUGAACCUCCUGUGAAAACGAACCAAAGAGAAAGCUUACAGAUGUCAUUGGCUCAUUAUCUAGCAUUUUAGGAGUGAUAUGAGGAAACCAAUAGCAACUCGAGACUGUCACAGAUGCAGGUGGAAUAUACUACGCUGAUGUUCAUAAAGAAUGUGAGGUGAAACUGCUCUUCCACUGGACAUGUACUGGUCAUUCUGGGAACAGAUCAUCUUAUUGCCUCCUGGCAGUCAACCAUAUUCUAAAUAAUCUAAUAUUCAUCACUUCAUGGGAAGAAAUCUGAUAUACGGAGCUAAUUAGCUUAAUUUACCUAGAGUGUGAGGCCUGGCUUCAACCUCUUGCAAAGCAGAGCAAAUCUGAAAGAAGAAACUGAAAGCUUCCCUUGAAAGAGAGAGCAUCCAGGACUUGGCACAUUCACCUGAAAUAGGGCAGGGGGACUGAUGGGAACUUGGAUAAGCCUUUUUCUCAGGAAUUCUCAGUUUCCUCUAUGUGACUCCGUACCGCGAAGCUCAAAAGACAACAUGGUUAUCAGUUAACCAACAGCACUGCAAUGGAGGGUAUUGAUUUACAGAUGGUCCCAUAAUCUCUCUAAUGGAGUUUUUGAAAACACUUACGUGCAAAGCAAUUUUUAACAAAAAAAUAUACUGUAUCAGAUCAGCUGAAUUUCUUCACGUCCAUUCUUUAAUGCUUAUUCCUUUUGGAAAAUGUAACGACAGAGGGAGAUGACAGGAUCUCUUAUGUAAUCAGAAUUAAAACAUACAUAUUAUAAAAAAAAAUAAUGAAAAUUUAUGUUUUGUUCUUUUUGAAUAGUAUAUUUCGUUCUCAGUUUUACAAACAGCUGAACUAUGCAAUCUAGUAGUAGAUCAUUUGGUGGAAACUAGUCUGCUCAAUAUUUACCUCAAAGUCUGCAGAAAGUGCAUUUAUUAAUGGUUUUCUAGCUGUGUUGGUUUUUUGUUUUGUUUGUUUGUAUUGGGCUGGCUGUGGUGGGAGGCUUUUUUGUUUGUUGUUGGAUUUUUUUUUUAAAUCCAUUUAUUAUCAUCAUUUCUACAAGCAUUCUCUUCCUGUCCCUUGUUUUGCAUCACAAUGAACAAAAAAUAACAUUAAAAAAAAUAACCAUUGCAUUUUUCUCUCUUGAAAUGUCCACAAUUUGAAUGAAUAAUCGUUCCAAAUUAUCCUCAAAAGGUCAAUAGGAUGGCAAUGUUGCAUGAAACUGUAUCAGACAACAUUGACUCAUCAUUAACUUUUUGUUCCAGCUCUAUUGUGUUUAAAUCUCCAAACCAAAGUUGUGGGUAUAAUUCUUUUUAUUGUUUUGGUCAAGUGAGAGGAUUUUUGUCUGUAAACGUUCAAAAAAAAACCUUGUAUGUGGUUGCCAAGCCAAGUUUCUGCUUCGCAUUUAUGAGUUAAUGAAAGAGCUGCUGUAGCUUUAUAGCUGGAUUUCAAAAUCAAGAAUCUGGAGAAGUAUAUUGCAAAUGUAAUGUUACCCAAGCCUCUCUUAAUGAGAAUUUAAAUAAAGAAUGACCCAGUGGAAUUGCAGCAGUGUAUAGUGCUGCCAUUUAGCAGAAUGGAAUCAUGUCUCAAGCCUAGUGCACGUUAAAAGUAAGGAUCUGAAGCUUUUGGUCUCAAGGGACAAAGUAAGUGCUUUUCAGUUUCUCAAGUCAUUCACUGUUGACUGAAGUAGCCUUCUAUAGAUAGAUGCUAACAGAAAGACCAAAAAUAUUAAAAUAUGCCUAAUAUACUGAAAAAAUUAUAAGCUUUGUUUCCAUUUUGCUUUUUAGUCAGUGAAGAAAUAAUCACAAGAUUAAUGUAUUUUUAGAGGACAAUGGCUAUGCACAGAAUCUGCAGUUCCUUUUAACUCCACGGUUAAAUGCCUGAAGUUUGAUGGAUAACAGUGUUUCGCUAUUAUUCCUACUUACUGCCAGCUUAUGAAACAAGUGUUACAUUAAUUGCUUUAGGAGAAAAUAUGAAAAUAAAGGGUAGUAUAAAAUGUAAAACAGUAUCUCAGACUUGUUGGCUUGGAAUCUCUUUUGACAUGGCUAAGUUUCCAUCUAUGUGUUUAUAUAACGUAAAACAUGAAAUGGAAAUAUAUGUGUCCCAAAAAUAAA
Columba livia (rock pigeon) is the source of this 18784-nucleotide long non-coding RNA. RefSeq lists it as uncharacterized. The record is from RefSeq and is a predicted model, not a curated record. The transcript is spliced from 16 exons. Lineage: Eukaryota; Metazoa; Chordata; Aves; Columbiformes; Columbidae.